UCAUUGCACACACGAGAAGCAAACCCACGGCGAACGCAACAUUGUCCCCCCCCCCCCCUCUUCAAUUAAGAGUUGGGUGGGCGCAUCGUGUCCCGCGUCCCCGGGCGCGUGGGCACCUUGUCGUCCCCCCCGACUCGGUUGGCGCGAUGCACAUCCCAUUCUGAGCAUGACUGAGUCCCUGUGAGAUCUGUUCUUAUUUUGGCGGGGGGGCGCUGGUCCCCCCGCCCGAGUUGAAAGAUUUUCGUGGUCGUAAGUAAACCUAAAACACAACUCUCAGCAACGGAUAUCUUGGCUCCUGCAACGAUGAAGAACGCAGCGAAAUGCGAUACGUAGUGUGAAUUGCAGAAUUCCGCGAAUCAUCGAGUCUUUGAACGCAAGUUGCGCCCGAGGCUUGUCCGAGGGCAUUUCCGCCAGAGCGUCACCGCGCGCCCCCCACCGAGUCGGGCCAAUUGCGUGAAAGUGUGCCCGUCCCGCCUCGCGAGGCCGGGUCGGGUGAAAUGGAGGGAAUUUGGCCGGCGUGGUGGCGCAGUCCGCGAUCAGGUGAUCCGUAAAAGGAAACGUGUGCGGCUGCGUCCCCCAGUUUGGCGAGAGCAAGUUCCGAAGCAGGUCCUCCCCGCGGCGCGGAGCGCCGCGAGGGAACUGAGUGACGCAUCAGA
This 656-nucleotide small RNA is filed under the name Rhacocarpus purpurascens. Its description in RNAcentral is "eukaryotic LSU rRNA". The stretch from base 269 to 421 matches the Rfam family "5.8S ribosomal RNA". The record is from RNAcentral. Lineage: Eukaryota; Viridiplantae; Streptophyta; Bryopsida; Hedwigiales; Rhacocarpaceae.